GUGCCCUUGCGGGACGCGUGCAUCGAGUUACUUAGAUCUGCGAUCUCUCGACUACUAAAUCGCUGAACGGAACAUUCACCUUGUCGUACUGUGCACCGCUCGAGCACGAUGAUAUCAUUUAGAUGUCUUCGAUCGCGUCGGUUCGGUGCAGCGGUAUCCAUUGAAGCGGAAAAUUAAUCUCUCAGCGAGAAGUUACGUAUCCAUCCGGCCAACGUCGAGGCGAUACAUACCCGACAAAAGGGAUCCCACUGUCCACCGUCUCAGACGGGAUCUCCAGCGGUCCACGGGGCCAAGCAGAGCGACGUCCUUCGACGUUCUUGGGCAUCUUCGUGGAAAGUGGCUUCUGGAUGCCGUCGACAGGGAAGAAGAGUAUCGCCAGUCUUAAGAAUGCUGUUCGACUAGUUCGAACUGAAAUCAACCGGAAGGGAAGGAGGA
Molecule: long non-coding RNA, 435 nt
Organism: Hylaeus volcanicus
Lineage: Eukaryota; Metazoa; Arthropoda; Insecta; Hymenoptera; Colletidae
Exons: 3
Source: RefSeq, a predicted model, not a curated record